This 212-nucleotide ribosomal RNA is filed under the name uncultured bacterium. RNAcentral's name for it is "partial 16S ribosomal RNA". It matches the Rfam family "Bacterial small subunit ribosomal RNA", at positions 1288 to 1500 of the family's 1533-position model. The record is from RNAcentral.
UAGUCCGGAUUGCAGUCUGCAACUCGACUGCAUGAAGUCGGAAUCGCUAGUAAUCGCGGAUCAGCAUGCCGCGGUGAAUACGUUCCCGGGUCUUGUACACACCGCCCGUCAAACAAUGGGAGUGGUGUUUACCAGAAGUCGUUAGCCUAACCGCAAGGAGGGCGGCGACCACGGUGAGCACCGUGACUAAUGUUAAGUCGUAACAAGGUACC